GGGUAUAGCUCAGUGGUAGAGUGUAUGCUUAGCAUGCAUGAGGUCCUGGGUUCCAUCCUCAGGAUAUCUA
RNAcentral lists this transfer RNA (70 nucleotides) under Camelus bactrianus (Bactrian camel). It matches the Rfam family "tRNA". Rfam says of the family: Transfer RNA (tRNA) molecules are approximately 80 nucleotides in length. Their secondary structure includes four short double-helical elements and three loops (D, anti-codon, and T loops). RNAcentral also lists the same sequence under 2 other names. The record is from Rfam by way of RNAcentral. Lineage: Eukaryota; Metazoa; Chordata; Mammalia; Artiodactyla; Camelidae.